AGUGAACGCUGGCGGUAGGCCUAACACAUGCAAGUCGAACGGCAGCACAGUAAGAGCUUGCUCUUACGGGUGGCGAGUGGCGGACGGGUGAGGAAUACAUCGGAAUCUACUUUUUCGUGGGGGAUAACGUAGAGAAACUUACGCUAAUACCGCAUACGACCUACGGGUGAAAGUAGGGGAUCUUCGGACCUUGCGCGAUUGAAUGAGCCGAUGUCGGAUUAGCUAGUUGGCGGGGUAAAGGCCCACCAAGGCGACGAUCCGUAGCUGGUCUGAGAGGAUGAUCAGCCACACUGGAACUGAGACACGGUCCAGACUCCUACGGGAGGCAGCAGUGGGGAAUAUUGGACAAUGGGCGCAAGCCUGAUCCAGCCAUACCGCGUGGGUGAAGAAGGCCUUCGGGUUGUAAAGCCCUUUUGUUGGGAAAGAAAAGCAGCAGGUUAAUACCCCGCUGUUCUGACGGUACCCAAAGAAUAAGCACCGGCUAACUUCGUG
Molecule: ribosomal RNA, 492 nt
Filed under: uncultured bacterium
Lineage: Bacteria
Description: partial 16S ribosomal RNA
Rfam family: Bacterial small subunit ribosomal RNA
Source: RNAcentral